Molecule: ribosomal RNA, 418 nt
Filed under: uncultured bacterium
Lineage: Bacteria
Description: bacterial SSU rRNA
Rfam family: Bacterial small subunit ribosomal RNA
Source: RNAcentral
AUAUUGGUCAAUGGGCGAGAGCCUGAACCAGCCAAGUAGCGUGAAGGAUGACUGCCCUAUGGGUUGUAAACUUCUUUUAUAAAGGAAUAAAGUCGGGUAUGUAUACCCGUUUGCAUGUACUUUAUGAAUAAGGAUCGGCUAACUCCGUGCCAGCAGCCGCGGUAAUACGGAGGAUCCGAGCGUUAUCCGGAUUUAUUGGGUUUAAAGGGAGCGUAGAUGGAUGUUUAAGUCAGUUAUGAAAGUUUGCGGCUCAACCGUAAAAUUGCAGUUGAUACUGGAUAUCUUGAGUGCAGUUGAGGCAGGCGGAAUUCGUGGUGUAGCGGUGAAAUGCUUAGAUAUCACGAAGAACUCCGAUUGCGAAGGCAGCCUGCUAAGCUGCAACUGACAUUGAGGCUCGAAAGUGUGGGUAUCAAACAGG